This 1606-nucleotide ribosomal RNA is filed under the name Mastodia sp. RNAcentral's name for it is "SSU rRNA". It matches the Rfam family "Eukaryotic small subunit ribosomal RNA", at positions 94 to 1735 of the family's 1831-position model. Lineage: Eukaryota; Fungi; Ascomycota; Eurotiomycetes; Verrucariales; Verrucariaceae. The record is from RNAcentral.
AUGCUCAUAAAUCAGUUAUAGUUUAUUUGAUAGUACCUUCUACCUGGAUAACCGUGGUAAUUCUAGAGCUAAUACAUGCCAAAAACCUCGACUCACGAAGAGGUGUAUUUAUUAGAUAAAAAACCAAUGCCCUCCGGGGCUCAGUGGUGAUUCAUGAUAACUUAACGAAUCGCAUGGCCUUGCGCCGGCGAUGGUUCAUUCAAAUUUCUGCCCUAUCAACUUUCGAUGGUAGGAUAGUGGCCUACCAUGGUUUCAACGGGUAACGGGGAAUUAGGGUUCGAUUCCGGAGAGGGAGCCUGAGAAACGGCUACCACAUCCAAGGAAGGCAGCAGGCGCGCAAAUUACCCAAUUCUGACACAGAGAGGUAGUGACGAUAAAUACCGAUACAGGGCUCUUUCGGGUCUUGUAAUUGGAAUGAGUACAAUCUAAACCCCUUAACGAGGAACAAUUGGAGGGCAAGUCUGGUGCCAGCAGCCGCGGUAAUUCCAGCUCCAAUAGCGUAUAUUAAAGUUGUUGCAGUUAAAAAGCUCGUAGUUGAACCUUGGGCCUGGCCGAUCUGUCUUCCUAACCGUUGUACGGAUUCGGUCGGGCCUUUCCUUCUGGGGAGCCCCAUGUCCUUCACUGGGCGUGGUGGGGAACCAGGACUUUUACCUUGAAAAAAUUAGAGUGUUCAAAGCAGGCCUUUGCUCGAAUACAUUAGCAUGGAAUAAUGGAAUAGGACAGCAGUUCUAUUUUGUUGGUUUCUAGGACCGCUGUAAUGAUUAAUAGGGGUAGUCGGGGGCGUCAGUAUUCAAUUGUCAGAGGUGAAAUUCUUGGAUUUAUUGAAGACUAACUACUGCGAAAGCAUUCGCCAAGGAUGUUUUCAUUAAUCAGUGAACGAAAGUUAGGGGAUCGAAGACGAUCAGAUACCGUCGUAGUCUUAACCAUAAACUAUGCCGACUAGGGAUUGGACGGUGUUUCUUUUAUGACCCGUUCAGCACCUUACGAGAAAUCAAAGUUUUUGGGCUCUGGGGGGAGUACGGUCGCAAGGCUGAAACUUAAAGAAAUUGACGGAAGGGCACCACAAGGCGUGGAGCCUGCGGCUUAAUUUGACUCAACACGGGGAAACUCACCAGGUCCGGACAUAAGAAGGAUUGACAGAUUGAGAGCUCUUUCUUGAUUUUAUGGGUGGUGGUGCAUGGCCGUUCUUAGUUGGUGGAGUGAUUUGUCUGCUUAAUUGCGAUAACGAACGAGACCUUGACCUGCUAAAUAGUCCAUCUGACUUUGGUUGGAUGCUGGCUUCUUAGAGGGACUUUUGGCUCAAGCCAAUGGAAGUACGAGGCAAUAACAGGUCUGUGAUGCCCUUAGAUGUCCUGGGCGGCACGCGCGCUACACUGACAGAGCCAGCGAGUUCAUCACCUUGGCCGAAAGGUCUGGGUAAUCUUGUUAAACUCUGUCGUGCUGGGGAUAGAGCAUUGCAAUUGUUGCUCUUCAACGAGGAAUGCCUAGUAAGCGCAAGUCAUCAGCUUGCGUUGACUACGUCCCUGCCCUUUGUACACACCGCCCGUCGCUACUACCGAUUGAAUGGCUCAGUGAGGCCUUGGGACUGGCUCAGAGAGAUCGGCAA